GGAAUUCAGAAAGCAGCUGACAAUGGAGGCAUGUAUGCAGGAAAGCAAAAUACAGGAAACAAUGGGGGUUAUCAAAAACCCGAAGCUGCACCAGCAGUCACUCAAGCUGUCAAAAUGCAACCAAUAUUAGUGCCUACCAUACCUGUCGAAGAACUGUCAGAAGUAACAGACAACUUUGGAAAUGAUGCUUUGAUUGGAGAGGGUUCAUAUGGGAGAGUAUACUA
Molecule: unclassified non-coding RNA, 224 nt
Filed under: Hevea brasiliensis (rubber tree)
Lineage: Eukaryota; Viridiplantae; Streptophyta; Magnoliopsida; Malpighiales; Euphorbiaceae
Source: RNAcentral